RNAcentral lists this ribosomal RNA (407 nucleotides) under uncultured bacterium. Its description in RNAcentral is "partial 16S ribosomal RNA". It matches the Rfam family "Bacterial small subunit ribosomal RNA", at positions 30 to 526 of the family's 1533-position model. The record is from RNAcentral.
AUUGAACGCUGGCGGCAGGCCUAACACAUGCACGUCGAGCGGAGCGGCGGACGGGCGAGUAAUGCCUACGAAUCUGCCUGGUAGUGGGGGAUAACGUCCGGUAACGGGCGCUAAUCCCGCAUACUAUCAGAUGUGCAUAGGUCGGAUUAGCUUGUUGGUGGGGUACAGGCCUACCAAGGCAACGAUCCAUAACUGGUCUGAGAGGAUGAUCAGUCAAACUGGAACUGAGACACGGUCCAGACUCCUACGAGAGGCAGCAGUGGGUAAUAUUAGACAAUGGGCGAAAGGCUGAUCCAGCCAUGCCGCGUGUGUGAAGAAGGGCUGCGGAUUGGAAAGCACUUUAAUUUGAGAGGCUGUACCAACAGAAUAAGCACCGGCUAACUGCGUGCCAGCAGCCGCGGUAAUUC